GGAUGAGCCCGCGGCCUAUCAGCUUGUUGGUGGGGUAAUGGCCUACCAAGGCGACGACGGGUAGCCGGCCUGAGAGGGCGACCGGCCACACUGGGACUGAGACACGGCCCGGACUCCUACGGGAGGCAGCAGUGGGGAAUAUUGCACAAUGGGCGGAAGCCUGAUGCAGCGACGCCGCGUGAGGGAUGACGGCCUUCGGGUUGUAAACCUCUUUCAGCAGGGACGAAGCGCAAGUGACGGUACCUGCAGAAGAAGCACCGGCUAACUACGUGCCAGCAGCCGCGGCCG
Molecule: ribosomal RNA, 288 nt
Filed under: uncultured Streptomyces sp.
Lineage: Bacteria; Bacillati; Actinomycetota; Actinomycetes; Kitasatosporales; Streptomycetaceae
Description: partial 16S ribosomal RNA
Rfam family: Bacterial small subunit ribosomal RNA
Source: RNAcentral